UUUUCUUCCUUCAAUUUGGUCUGAGAUUCAAUAUGAGGCUUGUGAAAUGAAAUGAUAAUGUAUAUAUAGAGAGAGGGACAUGAUAUAUAUUAAAUCAAUGAAAAUAAAAUAAAAGAGAAAUUUUGAAAUCUUACAUUUCGAACAUAUUCCUAUUCUGACUUUGGAUUUUCUUCUAAAUUUGGAGAAAAUAAUAAUUAAGAAAGAUAAAUGUCAAAAUACACAGUUUGGAAGUUUCUCAUCUCCUUUUGGUG
Arabidopsis thaliana (thale cress) is the source of this 251-nucleotide long non-coding RNA. RefSeq annotates it as other RNA. The transcript has a single exon. NCBI's taxonomy places the organism in Eukaryota, Viridiplantae, Streptophyta, Magnoliopsida, Brassicales, Brassicaceae. The record is from RefSeq.